RNAcentral lists this ribosomal RNA (482 nucleotides) under uncultured bacterium. RNAcentral's name for it is "partial 16S ribosomal RNA". It matches the Rfam family "Bacterial small subunit ribosomal RNA", at positions 30 to 507 of the family's 1533-position model. The record is from RNAcentral.
UGAACGCUAGCGGCAGGCCUAACACAUGCAAGUCGAGCGGAUGAAGGGAGCUUGCUCCUGGAUUCAGCGGCGGACGGGUGAGUAAUGCCUAGGAAUCUGCCUGGUAGUGGGGGAUAACGUCCGGAAACGGGCGCUAAUACCGCAUACGUCCUGAGGGAGAAAGUGGGGGAUCUUCGGACCUCACGCUAUCAGAUGAGCCUAGGUCGGAUUAGCUAGUUGGUGGGGUAAAGGCCUACCAAGGCGACGAUCCGUAACUGGUCUGAGAGGAUGAUCAGUCACACUGGAACUGAGACACGGUCCAGACUCCUACGGGAGGCAGCAGUGGGGAAUAUUGGACAAUGGGCGAAAGCCUGAUCCAGCCAUGCCGCGUGUGUGAAGAAGGUCUUCGGAUUGUAAAGCACUUUAAGUUGGGAGGAAGGGCAGUAAGUUAAUACCUUGCUGUUUUGACGUUACCAACAGAAUAAGCACCGGCUAACUUCGUG